UACAGAGGGUGCGAGCGUUAAUCGGAGUUACUGGGCGUAAAGGGCGCGUAGGCGGUUUAAUAAGAUUGAUGUGAAAUCCCUGGGCUUAACCUAGGAACUGCAUCGAUGACUGUUAAGCUAGUGUAUUGUAGAGGGUAGUGGAAUUUCCGGUGUAGCGGUGAAAUGCGUAGAGAUCGGAAGGAACACCAGUGGCGAAAGCGGCGCGCUGGACCUCUUCUGACGCUGAGGCGCGAAAGCCAGGGGAGCGAACGGG
Molecule: ribosomal RNA, 253 nt
Filed under: uncultured bacterium
Lineage: Bacteria
Description: partial 16S ribosomal RNA
Rfam family: Bacterial small subunit ribosomal RNA
Source: RNAcentral